This 253-nucleotide ribosomal RNA is filed under the name uncultured bacterium. RNAcentral's name for it is "partial 16S ribosomal RNA". It matches the Rfam family "Bacterial small subunit ribosomal RNA", at positions 524 to 776 of the family's 1533-position model. The record is from RNAcentral.
UACGUAGGGGGCGAGCGUUGUCCGGAGUUACUGGGCGUAAAGCGCACGCAGGCGGUCUGCUAAGUUUGGAGUGACAGUUGGUGGCUUAACUGCCAAAGUGCUUCGAAAACUGACAGACUUGAGGGCUUCAGAGGGACACGGAAUUCCGGGUGGAGUGGUGAAAUGCGUAGAGAUCCGGAAGAACACCAAAGGCGAAGGCAGUGUCCUGGGGAGUACCUGACGCUCAGGUGCGAAAGCCAGGGGAGCGAACGGG